Molecule: long non-coding RNA, 374 nt
Organism: Meriones unguiculatus (Mongolian gerbil)
Lineage: Eukaryota; Metazoa; Chordata; Mammalia; Rodentia; Muridae
Exons: 3
Source: RefSeq, a predicted model, not a curated record
UGUGUCUGGACACCCUGAUUUUCCCAGCUCAAUAACUGAACCUCUUCUAUAUGAAGUUCCCAGGGUGUGCUACCCUGUGCUGGUAAAAUUACAUUUUGGUUGCUGCCCUACAUUUAGACUGCUGCAAGAAGUCUGGACAUUGAUGGUUUGUUUGCAAGUCUCUAGGCUGGGAGUGCAGCUGUGUGGACCAGUGUCUGGUUCCUUUCCUGUGCUGAAGCGAAAAACAAACAAACAAACAACAAUCGGAGAGAAAGUCGCUGAGAAUGGAGCAAUGACAGCAGACCUUCACAUCACCCAUCUCCAGCUCUGCCUAUCUCUGGAGGAGGCGUCCAGUGGAACAUCCUGACAAAAUGGGAAUCCUCUGGAGCUGCCAU